CAGGAAGAUGCCAGAGGUCCCGGAGCCAGGAGGACGCCAGAGGUCUAGGAAACCCGGAGGUUACCCAUUCCAAUGCACAAAAAAAAAAUUUUUUUUUCUCAGUCUAGAGCUAGAUAUCCCUUGAUCAAGAAUGAACAAACCUGAUUAUGAAUAGAGGGAAGGGCAGUCCUUCAAGCCAGAGAUUUUGUCCACAUGGAGGUUUUCCUUUCCUGAGUGCUGAAGGAUGACUCUUUGUGAGUCCACG
Pelobates cultripes (western spadefoot toad) is the source of this 244-nucleotide non-coding RNA. The record is from the annotation of a GenBank genome assembly. NCBI's taxonomy places the organism in Eukaryota, Metazoa, Chordata, Amphibia, Anura, Pelobatidae.